AAGUAUAAGGAUGAGUUUGUUCACAAAAGUGACUUUUUUUGUCUUCACAGCUCCAAAACAAAUUGCAGGCACCAUGAACCGGAGCAAGGGUAAGUUUAAAAAAAAAAGGCUACAUGCUGUAUGAAAGUAAAUAACUAUGUCCUCUGACCUAUUUACAAUGAUAAAAAGAACAUCUCUCAAGUACAACUCAGUUCCUUUCUUUCGCACUAUAGAGCCCUUGAAAAAAUUGUUUGCAAACUUGAUCAACUAGUUCGGAGUCGACAGAGAAGUAUGAGGGAAAGAUUUACUAGAUUACAUUCAUUAGAUUAGAUUCAACUUCAUUGUCCUUGUUGGUCAAUGUGACAUUAUUUUCCAGUUACAUUACUAGAUGUAUUGUGUUAACAUGCAGUGCAUUGCACUGAUUGUCUCUGCUAAUUGCGUUUGCAGCUGCUGGACGCGAGACAGAGUGUACUAGCUGUGUACUAGCUGCAGAGUAAAUGGACUUCUGGUGGAGCAUCACGACAAUUGAUGUGAUGAUGUCUUGAUGAGGAGGAUGGGCUGAUCGUGUGACCUUCAUCUUUUCACAGCCAGGAGAUCGCCGACCUGUGUGCCACACUUCAGGCCUGCCUGGAAGCUAAUCCGAAGUGCGUGGCUAACACAUCACAGAGAACCUGUUGCACCAAGGAGGAGGAGGAGGCGUCAUGAACGGGAGUUAGCAAGACAGAGCCUGGUGUGGCAGCUGGAUUUCUUUCAAACAUCAACAUGAAGCAGAGAAUCUGUCGUUUUUUAGCUGUAUGUUAACUUUGAAAUGAUCACCUUGUAUUUCAGUCAAUAUUCAUCCGUUUAAGAUGUGUCACAUGAUAUAUGUAUCAUAGGUUUCACAGACUUUUCACUUAGCGUCCACUAACACCAUACCUAGUAUUUUGCCAUCCACUAACACCCUAUCAUGGUUAUUUAAAGACACGUUCAAGUAAGAGCAACAAGUGAUUUGUGAAGCUAGCAAUGAACUGCUGGUAGUAGGGCUUAGACAGUUCA
Molecule: long non-coding RNA, 1014 nt
Organism: Clupea harengus (Atlantic herring)
Lineage: Eukaryota; Metazoa; Chordata; Actinopteri; Clupeiformes; Clupeidae
Source: Ensembl